AACGCACAUUGCACCCCCUGGUAUUCCGGGGGGUAUGCCUGUCCGAGCGUCAUUGCAACCUUCAAGCGCGGCUUGUGCAUUGGGCGUCGUCCCCCGUGGACGUGCCCGAAAGGCAGUGGCGGUGCCUGAAAUGGUGCCUGAGCGUAUGGGGAUCUUCUCCGCUCGACGAGGCCCGUUCGGCGCCGGUCGUAACCAAUCUUUUCACCGGUUGACCUCGGAUCAGGUAGGGAUACCCGCUGAACUUAA
RNAcentral lists this unclassified non-coding RNA (246 nucleotides) under uncultured fungus. RNAcentral's name for it is "partial contains 5.8S ribosomal RNA, internal transcribed spacer 2, and large subunit ribosomal RNA". Lineage: Eukaryota; Fungi. The record is from RNAcentral.